GCAUCGGUGGUUUAGUGGUAGAAUGCUCGCCUGCCACGCGGGCGGCCAGGGUUCGAUUCCUGGCCGAUGCA
This 71-nucleotide transfer RNA is filed under the name Cordylochernes scorpioides. RNAcentral describes it as "tRNA-Gly". It matches the Rfam family "tRNA". From Rfam's summary of the family: Transfer RNA (tRNA) molecules are approximately 80 nucleotides in length. Their secondary structure includes four short double-helical elements and three loops (D, anti-codon, and T loops). The record is from RNAcentral. Lineage: Eukaryota; Metazoa; Arthropoda; Arachnida; Pseudoscorpiones; Chernetidae.